RNAcentral lists this ribosomal RNA (472 nucleotides) under uncultured bacterium. Its description in RNAcentral is "SSU rRNA". It matches the Rfam family "Bacterial small subunit ribosomal RNA", at positions 26 to 518 of the family's 1533-position model. The record is from RNAcentral.
AGGACGAACGCUGGCGGCGUGCUUAACACAUGCAAGUCGAGCGGUGAUCCUCCUUCGGGAGGUGAUCAGCGGCGAACGGGUGAGUAACACGUGGGCAACCUGCCCCUCACACUGGGAUAACCUCGGGAAACCGGGGCUAAUACCGGAUACGACCUCGAGCGGCAUCUCUUGAGGUGGAAAGCUCCGACGGUGAGGGAUGGGCCCGCGGCCUAUCAGCUUGUUGGUGGGGUAAUGGCCUACCAAGGCGACGACGGGUAGCCGGCCUGAGAGGGUGACCGGCCACACUGGGACUGAGACACGGCCCAGACUCCUACGGGAGGCAGCAGUGGGGAAUAUUGGACAAUGGGCGCAAGCCUGAUCCAGCCAUGCCGCGUGGAUGAUGAAGGCCUUAGGGUUGUAAAGUCCUUUUAACGGGGAAGAUAAUGACGGUACCCGUAGAAUAAGCCCCGGCUAACUUCGUGCCAGCAGCCGC